ACAUGGUUCCUCUGUGAUGUAGC
RNAcentral lists this non-coding RNA (23 nucleotides) under Cricetulus griseus (Chinese hamster). Lineage: Eukaryota; Metazoa; Chordata; Mammalia; Rodentia; Cricetidae. The record is from RNAcentral.